AGCCCCUAGCACAGCCCUGUGCUAGACAAAGAGGUGCUCAAUCAAUAUUUGUCAAAAGACCUGAGCAUUCCAGCUUUGCCUUUUGAGCCUUUCCGCUUCCCAUCCCCACCCCGGAAGUUCCGUCUACUCUUCGGCUUUGUGAUGCAAUCUCCGAGGAAGAUUGAGAAGCCUGAGGUGGAAGAGGGAGAGCAACAGUGGAGGACGUGGUCGGAAGUGAGCGGUCGGUCUCCACAAGGAACGACAAGGAGUGUCUACAGGAGGAUCUGACAUACCCUGAAUCAUCUCUCCUGUCUCCUGGUUCCUGCACAUAUUCACAGAUUAUUCUGCAGAUGCAGAAGUGAGGGCUCUUUUCCCUCCAGGGGCUGCGUGGGAGAAGGAUUCCUGGCCUCUCCACCCCAGCAAAUGCUGAGUCCUCUGCCUUCCCUGCCUCCUGGUCCCUAGGAGCUUGCAUUGCUAUUCUGUGAUUUGCAGUUCAGGUAAGUGAUUUUGAAACAGGAGGGGGCUUGGAGUGUCUUUCUCUUCUGAGCGGACUUAACUCCAAUUGAAUUAUGACGCAGGCAAACCACAUUGAAGUGGACACCUAGUCCUACUAUGAAAAUCAUCAGGCAAGGAUACUCCUGCUCUGGGGAUGAGAAAGGAGAAAGUCUUAUUCUUUCCACCUGCACUCAGGGCAGGGGAGGGCACACCCCGUCUGGGUAGGGUGAAAGAGGGAGGGUGGUGGGGUUGGCUUGGCGAGAGUUUUGAAGAAAUUCAGGUGGCCAUUCGCAUACUGAAAGCAGCCUACAUAGUUGUCUGUUGUCACCAUGUGAGCGGGGUUGAACUUGGUGCCCAGGACACACACGUGGUGAGUAGUUGUCCCUGUGUUGGCUUUGUCUUUUCUCUAUAUGUGUGUGAAGGAAUGAAGGGAGGGGAGGCAGGUCAGACCUGAGAAGAGAAAUGCCAUUUUGUCUUUCCUUUUUCAUUUGUUUUGUGUGCGCUCAGAGAGAUUGAGAGAGA
Molecule: long non-coding RNA, 996 nt
Organism: Diceros bicornis minor
Lineage: Eukaryota; Metazoa; Chordata; Mammalia; Perissodactyla; Rhinocerotidae
Exons: 3
Source: RefSeq, a predicted model, not a curated record